RNAcentral lists this ribosomal RNA (252 nucleotides) under uncultured bacterium. RNAcentral's name for it is "partial 16S ribosomal RNA". It matches the Rfam family "Bacterial small subunit ribosomal RNA", at positions 524 to 776 of the family's 1533-position model. The record is from RNAcentral.
UACGGAGGGGGCUAGCGUUGUUCGGAAUUACUGGGCGUAAAGCGCACGUAGGCGGCUUUGUAAGUUAGAGGUGAAAGCCCAGAGCUCAACUCUGGAACUGCCUUAAGACUGCAUCGCUUGAAUCAUGGAGAGGUCAGUGGAAUUCCGAGUGUAGAGGUGAAAUUCGUAGAUAUUCGGAAGAACACCAGUGGCGAAGGCGACUGACUGGACAUGUAUUGACGCUGAGGUGCGAAAGCGUGGGGAGCAAACAGG